RNAcentral lists this ribosomal RNA (651 nucleotides) under Lacticaseibacillus rhamnosus. RNAcentral describes it as "bacterial SSU rRNA". It matches the Rfam family "Bacterial small subunit ribosomal RNA", at positions 371 to 1013 of the family's 1533-position model. Lineage: Bacteria; Bacillati; Bacillota; Bacilli; Lactobacillales; Lactobacillaceae. The record is from RNAcentral.
AUGGACGCAAGUCUGAUGGAGCAACGCCGCGUGAGUGAAGAAGGCUUUCGGGUCGUAAAACUCUGUUGUUGGAGAAGAAUGGUCGGCAGAGUAACUGUUGUCGGCGUGACGGUAUCCAACCAGAAAGCCACGGCUAACUACGUGCCAGCAGCCGCGGUAAUACGUAGGUGGCAAGCGUUAUCCGGAUUUAUUGGGCGUAAAGCGAGCGCAGGCGGUUUUUUAAGUCUGAUGUGAAAGCCCUCGGCUUAACCGAGGAAGUGCAUCGGAAACUGGGAAACUUGAGUGCAGAAGAGGACAGUGGAACUCCAUGUGUAGCGGUGAAAUGCGUAGAUAUAUGGAAGAACACCAGUGGCGAAGGCGGCUGUCUGGUCUGUAACUGACGCUGAGGCUCGAAAGCAUGGGUAGCGAACAGGAUUAGAUACCCUGGUAGUCCAUGCCGUAAACGAUGAAUGCUAGGUGUUGGAGGGUUUCCGCCCUUCAGUGCCGCAGCUAACGCAUUAAGCAUGCCGCCUGGGGAGUACGACCGCAAGGUUGAAACUCAAAGGAAUUGACGGGGGCCCGCACAAGCGGUGGAGCAUGUGGUUUAAUUCGAAGCAACGCGAAGAACCUUACCAGGUCUUGACAUCUUUUGAUCACCUGAGAGAUCAGGUU